GAGAGUUUAAUUAAUUUUGGUCUUGUGGACAACAAGUGGCUUUCAGGUAGUGUUGGGUUAAAAUCUGCAGCAGAGGUGUAAAUUUAAUUUUUUAUCGGGUGUAUUUAUAGUCUGUGUUUGGGUGUAUUAUGCAGAUCUCUAUGCAGACCGUCAUAUAUGGGUUCCAAUC
Long non-coding RNA from Arachis duranensis, 169 nucleotides. RefSeq lists it as uncharacterized. Lineage: Eukaryota; Viridiplantae; Streptophyta; Magnoliopsida; Fabales; Fabaceae. The transcript has 2 exons. The record is from RefSeq and is a predicted model, not a curated record.